CCUACGGGUGGCAGCAGUGAGGAAUAUUGGGCAAUGGGCGUAAGCCUGAACCAGCCAAGUCGCGUGAGGGAUGAAGGUUCUAUGGAUCGUAAACCUCUUUUAUAAGGGAAUAAAGUGUGGGACGUGUCCUAUUUUGUAUGUACCUUAUGAAUAAGGAUCGGCUAACUCCGUGCCAGCAGCCGCGGUAAUACGGAGGAUCCGAGCGUUAUCCGGAUUUAUUGGGUUUAAAGGGUACGUAGGCGGCCUUGUAAGUCUACGGUUAAAGUCUGUGGCUCAACCAUAGAAUGGCCGUUGAAACUGGGGGGCUUGAGUAUGUUUGAGGCAGGCGGAAUGCGUGGUGUAGCGGGGAAAUGCUUAGAUAUAAGGCAGAACCCCGAUGGCGAAGGCAGCCUGCCAAGCCAUGACUGACGCUGAUGCACGAAAGCGUGGGGAUCAAACAGGAUUAGAUACCCGAGUAGUC
RNAcentral lists this ribosomal RNA (460 nucleotides) under uncultured bacterium. Its description in RNAcentral is "partial 16S ribosomal RNA". It matches the Rfam family "Bacterial small subunit ribosomal RNA", at positions 338 to 795 of the family's 1533-position model. The record is from RNAcentral.